RNAcentral lists this ribosomal RNA (274 nucleotides) under uncultured bacterium. RNAcentral's name for it is "partial 16S ribosomal RNA". It matches the Rfam family "Bacterial small subunit ribosomal RNA", at positions 523 to 796 of the family's 1533-position model. The record is from RNAcentral.
AUACGGAGGGUGCAAGCGUUAAUCGGAAUUACUGGGCGUAAAGCGCGCGUAGGCGGUUUGGUAAGUCGGAUGUGAAAGCCCCGGGCUCAACCUGGGAAUUGCAUUCGAUACUUCCAGACUAGAGUAUGGUAGAGGGAAGUGGAAUUCCGGGUGUAGCGGUGAAAUGCGUAGAUAUCCGGAGGAACACCAGUGGCGAAGGCGACUUCCUGGACCAAUACUGACGCUGAGGUGCGAAAGCGUGGGGAGCAAACAGGAUUAGACACCCCGGUAGUCC